This 512-nucleotide ribosomal RNA is filed under the name Staphylococcus xylosus. RNAcentral's name for it is "bacterial SSU rRNA". It matches the Rfam family "Bacterial small subunit ribosomal RNA", at positions 1 to 500 of the family's 1533-position model. The record is from RNAcentral. Lineage: Bacteria; Bacillati; Bacillota; Bacilli; Caryophanales; Staphylococcaceae.
UUAGGAGUUUGAUCCUGGCUCAGGAUGAACGCUGGCGGCGUGCCUAAUACAUGCAAGUCGAGCGAACAGAUAAGGAGCUUGCUCCUUUGAAGUUAGCGGCGGACGGGUGAGUAACACGUGGGUAACCUACCUAUAAGACUGGGAUAACUUCGGGAAACCGGAGCUAAUACCGGAUAACAUUUAGAACCGCAUGGUUCUAAAGUGAAAGAUGGUUUUGCUAUCACUUAUAGAUGGACCCGCGCCGUAUUAGCUAGUUGGUAAGGUAACGGCUUACCAAGGCGACGAUACGUAGCCGACCUGAGAGGGUGAUCGGCCACACUGGAACUGAGACACGGUCCAGACUCCUACGGGAGGCAGCAGUAGGGAAUCUUCCGCAAUGGGCGAAAGCCUGACGGAGCAACGCCGCGUGAGUGAUGAAGGGUUUCGGCUCGUAAAACUCUGUUAUUAGGGAAGAACAAAUGUGUAAGUAACUGUGCACAUCUUGACGUACCUAAUCAGAAAGCCACGGCUAA